Mytilus californianus (California mussel) is the source of this 718-nucleotide long non-coding RNA. RefSeq lists it as uncharacterized. The transcript has 3 exons. Lineage: Eukaryota; Metazoa; Mollusca; Bivalvia; Mytilida; Mytilidae. The record is from RefSeq and is a predicted model, not a curated record.
AACUGACAAAAAUGAUUAUAUCGAUCAUAUUUCUGUGUAUGCAAACGAUAUUCAUUGCUGUACUAAGUGAAUCAAGAAUUAAAUUGAUCUCAGCGCAUCAUAAACCUGAAUAUGACAACAAGUAUGAAGAAGAGAACGCCAUUGAAGACUAUCAUGUUAAAUUUGUAUGGGAAUGCGCUGUGAAAUGUUUGUCAAAUAAGCGUUGUUUGUCAUUCUUCUACAGCAAUCCUACAAGAAUGUGUAUUUUACACUCGGAUCCGUUCACAUAUACAGUUAUGUCAUUCUCAGGGGAAGGGUGGAAAUUUUACCUUUUCCAGGAACGUGCUGGUCGCUGUUUGGUCAACUUCUUCUACUACAGAGAACUGGACCUGUGUUAUAAAUUUGAACCGCCAAUUCAAGGGUCUCUUGUUCAUGAAGAUUUCGUUUGUCCAGGAACUGAGCUCAUGCGUAUCGAUUCCAAUGAAAUACAAGAUUACAUCAAGCUUGUUACAGCUGACAUCGGAGGAGUGUACCGUAAUGCAAUAUGUAUACAAGGUAAAAUGACACAAGGACAAUGGAAGUACAAUGAUGGAUCUACGAUAGAGUAUUUCAGGUGGGGACCAAAUCAACCAAGUGGAUCAACUAACGUCAUCAGCAUGAGUCGAUCACAGAACUACAAUUUUAGGAUUCUUAAUGAUGGAAAAAAUUGUACCUAUAUGUGUGAAUAUCGAUCACAGAA